CAAAGGAAUUGACGGGACCGCACAAGCGGUGGAUGAUGUGGUUUAAUUCGAUGCAACGCGAAAACCUUACCCACCUUUGACAUGGCAGGAAUCCUAAAGAGAUUUGGGAGUGCUCGAAAGAGAACCUGCACACAGGUGCUGCAUGGCUGUCGUCAGCUCGUGUCGUGAGAUGUUGGGUUAAGUCCCGCAACGAGCGCAACCCUUGCCAUUAGUUGCUACGAAAGGGCACUCUAAAUGGGACUGCCGGUGACAAACCGGAGGAAGGUGGGGAUGACGUCAAGUCCUCAUGGCCCUUAUAGGUGGGGCUACACACGUCAUACAAUGGUCGGUACAGAGGGUUGCCAACCCGCGAGGGGGGAGCUAAUCCCACAAAGCCGAUCGUAGUCCGGAUCGCAGUCUGCAACUCGACUGCGUGAAGUCGGAAUCGCUAGUAAUCGUGGAUCAGCAUGUCACGGUGAAUACGUUCCCGGGUCUU
RNAcentral lists this ribosomal RNA (475 nucleotides) under uncultured Allobrachymonas sp. Its description in RNAcentral is "bacterial SSU rRNA". It matches the Rfam family "Bacterial small subunit ribosomal RNA", at positions 902 to 1382 of the family's 1533-position model. Lineage: Bacteria; Pseudomonadati; Pseudomonadota; Betaproteobacteria; Burkholderiales; Comamonadaceae. The record is from RNAcentral.